AGCACAAGGUGGGGUGAAUAUGUCGGAUACGAGCGCAGCUAUUGUUGCCUGCUUUGCCGGACCGGAAAGUACCUGCGGGGCAAACAUGAAAAACUAUUGCUGGGACCAGCCACGAUCACGGCGCUGUCCUAAGGGCGCGUCUACCGCCUGGGGACCGUUCCAAAUAUUGCUCGCAACUCACAGUGCAAAAUUUGAGACUGCGGCCUGUUAUCGUGCGGCUGGCGUUACCUCGGGACGACUUAAUUGUGCA
This 250-nucleotide unclassified non-coding RNA is filed under the name plant metagenome. Its description in RNAcentral is "partial contains 5.8S ribosomal RNA, internal transcribed spacer 2, and large subunit ribosomal RNA". The record is from RNAcentral.